Molecule: unclassified non-coding RNA, 400 nt
Filed under: uncultured fungus
Lineage: Eukaryota; Fungi
Description: sequence contains ITS1
Rfam family: 5.8S ribosomal RNA (bases 1-105)
Source: RNAcentral
GAAAUGCGAUACGUAGUGUGAAUUGCAGAAUCCAGUGAAUCAUCGAAUCUUUGAACGCACAUUGCGCCCUUGGGUAUUCCUGGGGGCAUGCCUGUUUGAGAACCUUGACGUACCUCACACCCCACCCUGGUGUUUUUGUUUUUUAGCUUCGGCGAAAUCAAUCCUCUCAGGUGUGGGAUCGUGGAUCUGGGUCCCUUCUUUUUCGCAAGGAAAAGAGACCUUAAAUGAAAUGUCGACCGCAUUCUUCAGCUUGGUAUUGGGGUUCGCGGUUUCGCGGCUCCUAAAAUCAGUGGCGGUGCCUAUCGGCUCUACGCGUAGUAAUACUCCUCGCGAUUGAGUCCGGUAGGUCUACUUGCCAGCAACCCCUAAUUUUUUUAAGGUUGACCUCGGAUCAGGUAGG